Molecule: transfer RNA, 73 nt
Filed under: Ceratotherium simum simum (southern white rhinoceros)
Lineage: Eukaryota; Metazoa; Chordata; Mammalia; Perissodactyla; Rhinocerotidae
Description: tRNA-Val (TAC) (tRNA-Val-TAC-3-1)
Rfam family: tRNA
About the family: Transfer RNA (tRNA) molecules are approximately 80 nucleotides in length. Their secondary structure includes four short double-helical elements and three loops (D, anti-codon, and T loops).
Source: RNAcentral
GGUUCCAUAGUGCAGUGGUUAGCAUGUCUGCUUUACACGCAGAAGGUCCUGGGUUCGAGCCCCAGUGGAACCA